This 325-nucleotide long non-coding RNA is filed under the name Pan troglodytes (chimpanzee). RNAcentral's name for it is "long non-coding RNA NONPTRT005670". Lineage: Eukaryota; Metazoa; Chordata; Mammalia; Primates; Hominidae. The record is from RNAcentral.
UUCCAGGGUCUUGCUUCUGACUGUUAUAACUAAGAGAGAAGUUGGUGCCCCCAGAGCCAAAUCAGUCUCAGAAUAUUGGGAUACGUUGCUCCCAGCAUAGUUUUAUUAGCCAGUUAAAGGGAUAGGCUGAAGCAUACUCACUGUAUAAACAGAGGUUGUGCAAUGGCCCACGUGACAUAUAUGUUUAUUAUGUUAACAAGUGGGAAUCGUGCCAUUUCCAUGAUGCCCCGACAAGACUGUACAAGCCCUAGAUAAAGCUAGGUCAAGGACUUUGCAUAGAGAGGCGACCUCUCCAUCUAAGUGCUCUUUUUCUUCUAAGUUGUGA